Molecule: transfer-messenger RNA, 443 nt
Filed under: Deltaproteobacteria bacterium ADurb.Bin135
Lineage: Bacteria; Deltaproteobacteria
Description: transfer-messenger RNA, SsrA
Rfam family: tRNA (bases 369-440)
Source: RNAcentral
GGGGAUGAACGGAAUAGAGGCUCUCAAUGAAAUCAAGAACAUUAACAAGAACUUGCCUGUUAUCCUGUGUUCUGCCUAUGGAGAAUUCAAGCAGGAUUUCUCGAGCUGGGCAUCAGACGGAUAUGUUGUUAAAUCUGCUGACACCAACGAGCUCAAGCAAACAAUUAAGAAUCUUCUGGGAGUCGCCUGACACUUAGACAAAUUUGAUGUGUCCAAAAGGUUUAUUAGAGAACAGGUAUAAUAACGGAUAAUUACAGUACCAAAUCUAUCAUACCAAAACAUUUGAUUCUCCAACACUGUACAAAGUAUAUACUUUUUCGACAAAAUGCUUGCUAUAGAUUUCAUGUUGCCGUAAUAUUAUACGGGUUGGGGGUGUAGCUCAGCGGGAGAGCAUCUCGUUCGCAACGAGGGGGCCGCGGGUUCAAUUCCCGCCACCUCCACCA